CCUACGGGUGGCAGCAGUGAGGAAUAUUGGUCAAUGGUCGCAAGCCUGAACCAGCCAAGUCGCGUGAAUGAUGAAUGCCCUACGGUUUGUAAACUUCUUUUAUAACGGAAUAAAGUUAUGCACGUAUGCCUUUUUUUAUUUACCUUAUGAAUAAGCAUCGGCUAACUCCGUGCCAGCCGCCGCGGUAAUCAGGAGGAUGCGAGCGUUAUCCGGAUUUAUUGGGGUUAAAGGGAGCGUCGGUGGGUUGUUAAGUCAGUUGUGAAAUGUGGUGGCUCAAACUAAAAAGUGCAUUUGAUACUGGGAGGAUUGAGUACAUUGUAGGUAGGCGGAAUUCGUGGUGUAGCGGUGAAAUGCUUAGAUAUGACGAAGAACUCCGAUUGCGAAGGCAGCUUACUA
Molecule: ribosomal RNA, 396 nt
Filed under: uncultured bacterium
Lineage: Bacteria
Description: partial 16S ribosomal RNA
Rfam family: Bacterial small subunit ribosomal RNA
Source: RNAcentral